RNAcentral lists this ribosomal RNA (482 nucleotides) under uncultured bacterium. RNAcentral's name for it is "partial 16S ribosomal RNA". It matches the Rfam family "Bacterial small subunit ribosomal RNA", at positions 30 to 507 of the family's 1533-position model. The record is from RNAcentral.
AUUGAACGCUGGCGGCAUGCCUUACACAUGCAAGUCGAACGGUAACAGGUCUUCGGAUGCUGACGAGUGGCGAACGGGUGAGUAAUACAUCGGAACGUGCCCGAUCGUGGGGGAUAACGAGGCGAAAGCUUUGCUAAUACCGCAUACGAUCUACGGAUGAAAGCGGGGGAUCUUCGGACCUCGCGCGGCCGGAGCGGCCGAUGGCAGAUUAGGUAGUUGGUGGGAUAAAAGCUUACCAAGCCGACGAUCUGUAGCUGGUCUGAGAGGAUGAUCAGCCACACUGGGGCUGAGACACGGCCCAGACUCCUACGGGAGGCAGCAGUGGGGAAUUUUGGACAAUGGGCGAAAGCCUGAUCCAGCCAUGCCGCGUGCAGGAUGAAGGCCUUCGGGUUGUAAACUGCUUUUGUACGGAACGAAAAGCCUCUUUCUAAUAAAGAGGGGUCAUGACGGUACCGUAAGAAUAAGCACCGGCUAACUACGUG